This 468-nucleotide ribosomal RNA is filed under the name uncultured bacterium. RNAcentral's name for it is "partial 16S ribosomal RNA". It matches the Rfam family "Bacterial small subunit ribosomal RNA", at positions 28 to 507 of the family's 1533-position model. The record is from RNAcentral.
GACGAACGCUGGCGGCGUGCUUAACACAUGCAAGUCGAACGGAAAGGCCCUGCUUUUGUGGGGUGCUCGAGUGGCGAACGGGUGAGUAACACGUGAGUAACCUGCCCUUGACUUUGGGAUAACUUCAGGAAACUGGGGCUAAUACCGGAUAGGAGCUCCUGCUGCAUGGUGGGGGUUGGAAAGUUUCGGCGGUUGGGGAUGGACUCGCGGCUUAUCAGCUUGUUGGUGGGGUAGUGGCUUACCAAGGCUUUGACGGGUAGCCGGCCUGAGAGGGUGACCGGCCCGAUUGGGACUGAGAUACGGCCCAGACUCCUACGUGGGGCAGCAGUGGGGAAUAGUGAACGAUGGGCGGAAGCCUGAUGCAGCAACGCCGCGUGCGGGAUGACGGCCUUCGGGUUGUAAACCGCUUUCGCCUGUGACGAAGCGUGAGUGACGGUAAUGGGUAAAGAAGCACCGGCUAACUACGUG